UACUUUCAAACACUGCCUUUGUGAUUAUCUGAGCAAAUUGACAGAGGCAGGGGUGCAGAAAGGAUGAAUUCCUGUAGGAGAAGGGGCUACUUAAAUACUCAGACUCAUGAAACAGUUCAAACUUGAACAACUUCAUGAGAGCCAAUCUGGGUACAUUAAACAGAAGACCUUGGAAAAUUUAGCUCUUCUGCUGCUUGGCAAAUAGGAGCAGACAUCAUGUAAACUCGUGAACAAGAAGGACCAUAACAGGGUUUAUCACUUCACAAACACAGAACAAAAAGUUGAUCCUAUGCCAGAGUUAAUGGUCACAGCUCUCUGACACAAACAAAAAAAAUGAGGACUAGUGUGGGAUGAUUUCUGCCAAGAGAGCCUGUCUUCCUGGAAUAUGCUUUCAUGAGAAGAAUAGUGGCCAGCUUAAACUGAGGCAAUAGAUGAAACCAGAUAACAUCUCAGAAGAGAAAUAUAAUACUGAACUGGAUGGAGUCCUGAUGCAGAACUGAAAGAAAAGGAAGUAGGAAAGAAAUUAAGACCCCAAAGCAUUCGACUGAAUCACAGAUUGCUAUCGCAUUAUCAUACUCUGUGUUCUUGGAGAAAAAGUAGACUGAUAGAAUUAGAGAAAAAAAACAAGAAUUCUGGUAUACAAUUUGAUGAAAGCUAUAUAUCCAACCUCUACAGUUCUGUUGUUAGGUGAUUCUGUAAUUUUGCUCUUAACGAUACCUAAUCUUUGCGGUAGGGCUGAAAGGCCAUAUGGAUAUUAUCAGACAUGCUGUCAUCCUAGUAUGAUGAUAGUGUGUGUGACACAUGCUGAUCUGUGAGCAAUACAACCAGUGCGCAACAGAGCUGCCCAGUAUAUACCUUUGGCCAAUACCCAAAACUCUUCAGCAUGACAGUGACAAAAGCUGGAAACAAGUUGCAAGAGCCAGAGCAAGAGAACAUGGCCAGUUCCCAACAGCUGUCAUUUCCAGGAGCCCCAUGAUUGUGUCCUGGCCAGACCGCCAACUUCCCACAGCCAGACCUGCAACAUGACAGAAAGGGUCUGGUGGCUUCCCAGGAAAAAGCAUUGCUAUUAGUAUUUCAUGGGUUGCAACAAUUAUUCAAGUAUUCUGCAGAUCUACAGAGACUCCACAAACAGUAUUUUAAGCAGUAUUACUUUUGACUUUUCAAAUUUUAGGCAGCUGGAUUUCAUCUUCCAAUGAACCACUAAACUAAGAAAUCAAUGUUGUUAUUUCAUAGGAGGAUAUUUAUUUGCACCAAAUAGUCAACACAGUACAAAGGAUUCUCUGCUGAACUUAUGUCACAUACCAGGUAUACAUCUUACAUCUGAUAAAAAGAAUACUCUAUCACUAUACAAGAAACCAUGUCAAUAAUGAGACCAGCACAAUAACAACUGCUAACAAGUUUCAUGCCACUCAGUCCAGUCAAAGAAGUGAAAUCUAGACAGCACAACAUUGCUCUAUAAGCAGUGCCCAAGCCUAACCGGUGCAGAAUUUAUUAGAGAGCUUCUCUGUGUUGCCAUUUUAGAAUUUAUUUUUUUUUACUGUCUUGAUUUUUUUCAGCAACAUAUCACAACAAAAUUAAUCAAGCUAUACUGACUAUCUAUGGAUAAAUUUAAUUGUGAGAAAGGACUUCAUCUCACAAAUGAAAAGUAGGCUGUGUUUUCAGAGUGGGUGUUUACUGGAAAGAAAUUAGUCUCAGUGUGCAUCAGAAUGAACAAUCUGCGGUCAGCUCAUAGAGACAGUUUCACUUUCUUCUCUUUUAUAAGAAUUGUUCUUAUGGAGUGAGUUUCUUCUUUUGUCUUAUGCUGGGGUCUGUUCCUCACCGAGAGCUAUUCAUUCGAGCACACAUGAAGUCACACCAGAAGAACUUAUUUUCUAAGAAGUGGAAACACUAGUGGAACAUCUUCUCCUUUCCUCAAGCACAUCCCAACUCUGUAUCAGCUCUCCCAGGAACUUCUAGUCUGGUUGGCACACUGGUUAGCAAACAGAUUCUCUAUUAUUGAAACAAUUUCAACACAUAUUCCAGAGCGCGCGCUUGGCAGAGGCCUGUCCCUGUUACCUUGCAACUGAGAUAUUAAACUGUAUAUAAACAGACUUCACACUACCAGCCUUCCUAGAAGCACCCACAUUCUCUGGGGAAGUCUACAUGUGCGUGAUCACAGUACACCAUUGGCUUGUGGCCAGGCACAACUCUCAUUUCCUUAAGGCUUUCCUCUAGGCAAAGAAGCGUGACCUUCCUGUCUUGUCCUGGUGAGACAAGAGUAUGGCCAGAUUUGACAGCUGGGAAACGUUGCUUUUUCUGUGAUACAGAUACAGCCUGUAGUACUGAGUGCCACCUUUGAAAGUUUUAUGCUUCCCAUGGAGAGGUAGCUGCAUAUGCACGAGUAGCUGCCAGAUAUUUAAAAACCUGUGCUGUUAUUCUUUACUUCUACGUACACUGAAACACUCAUAACGCUCUAGCAGUAAGAAAUCAAAAUAUUUCAAUCUCUUAGCUUCAAGACUUCAGUUUCUCACAUCCCAUACAUAUUUCUAAAUAUGUGUGUUACUUCAGCAUCUAAAAUGAACACUCUUCAAUAUUCACAAGCAUCAUAUUAAGAUCACUUGACAUUUGACUUAAAUUUAAGAUGUAAUACACAAGUUUUUUGACAAUUAACUUCAAAAGGUAUUACUGUAAAUCCAUAUAACUUGGUUGUUUGAACAAUUAUCCUGAAUAGCACCGAUUUUCGCUUAUUUCAACAAAAGCAUUGUUCCUUCCACUGGAACGUCUUAAUUAGUUCAAACACAUUUCACACAUCUACACACACCUCCUGUCCUCUAUUGAUGCUUUAUUCUCUCUAAGGAAAAACAUUAUCAUUUGAACCAAGUUAUUUUCCAAGCAGUAUUACCCUUCAGCUCACUAGUAAAGUACACAGAAUUUGCUUUUUAAGCACUUGAAAAAAAAAAUUAUCAUUUCAAUGAAAGAAGGCAUAAUUAGUCAACUUUUUAUUACAAAUAUGGACUGUGUUGUGUUGCCCAGACAGAAUUUCAGGAUAGCCUUUGUGCUUAACUCCGAUUUCUGCACCACAUUCUUUCCCUUCCUUUGAAGGUGAAGCUGAAGAUCUCCUGCCAGUGGGAAUCUCUGUUCCCAUCAGGAAAGAGGUCAUAGACUACAGCUGUGGAUGCACAUAUUUCUCUUUCAGAAAUACUUCUUAAGUAUUCCUUUUUCUGUUUGCUUUUUUUUUUGUUGUUGUUGUUGGUUUGUUUAAACAUGGGGAGCAAUGUACUUAAGAAAGAAACAGUUGAAUCACCAUAAGUAGUUUUACUCACUAGCACCUACAGCCUUUGUCUCAUUUUCUUGAUGUCUGCUAGGAGCACCCUUCUGAACCACCAAACACUAAACCACAAAUUCAAAGUGAGUUGCCUAAGUAAACAGAAUUGAUCAAGGGAAUGAACUCCCUGACAGUGAUAUCAGUGGAGCUUGUGUAUGGAAAACUGCAUUUCAGGGCCCAAAGGGAUUCAUAUUUAUUUUAGAUUCCUGCUGUAGAUUUGGAAGUUUGUGCUGUGAGGUCUCUCACUUGUUUUUUUCUCUUCCUCUAAGAACCGGAUAGUGGGUCAGGAAAAAAAUUGAAAGUAUGCACUAAUUAUGCAGCAUGUUGAAAGACACCCUUUUAACUUUCUACUAUAAACAAGACAACAAACAAAGCUGUUGACAUUAUUCACUACCAGAAAGGAAAUUAUGAUGAUUGUGAUUAGGACACAUAAACUUUUUUCUAGAGUUGUAUUUUAAAACGCAUAAAAGUUACAGCAGUGUAUAAUGAGAGAAUAAUUCUAUCACAGUCCUUUUUUGAGAAUGCGUACAAACAAUCCUAAAAAGAAAAUGAAAGCAUUUGCAUAUGGUAAGACAUUUACUAUCAAGAAUCUGAUCACAAUGUCCUUCUGCUAGUUUUAGGAAACUAGCAAUCUUAAACUCAAGCUAUAAAUUACAAUGACUGCUGGCAUUUCAUAAAAGUGAAGUGUUUGCCUGCAAGCAUAACUAUUUUGGUUUUGUCUAUUGGAUUAUCACAAGAAAUGAGCUCUGAUUCCUCUAAACAAAAGCUAUUUGAAAGAAAAAUGUCCAUUUUCAGAUUGAAAACCUUUAGAGAAAAUUAGAACACAUACAGUAUAAUUUUUAGUCUUUUAUUUGAAUGUCUGAGUUUUUAUGACCUCAGUAAGGCUGAUAUUUAAAGUAGAGUUUUACUGAUAAAAAUUCCUUUUAGUCAGUUUAGUGUGCAAUACCAGAAAAAUUAGCUAGAAUCUCAAAAUAAAUGUUUCUACUAUCUUCAUUCAGCUCUUAUCUAAAGAAAAGGGGAAAAUCUUCAUUGAUUUUAUUACAUUCUGAAUACUAGCCAGCAGAUAAGACUCUAAAAUAACUGAUUCAUAAGAAGUCAAAACAAAGUGCUACGGAUGGUUCACAUUCUCACAACCAUACUCCUAAAUAUGGAGAAGUUUCUUGUUUCCUCUGUGUAUUCUUAUCUUACUAUGACCUAAAAAAGUGGAAUCCAGUAAAGAUGAAAAGGAUCCUUUUGUAAUUUAUACACUAACUUGACUUUCUGCCAGCUUCAUGGACAAAUACACUCUCUGGUAAAGUAAAAUUUAAAAAAGGAGUUAAAUUGUCUUAAAUUUUUUGUUACUAAA
This is a long non-coding RNA of Tympanuchus pallidicinctus (lesser prairie-chicken), 4649 nucleotides long. RefSeq lists it as uncharacterized. The record is from RefSeq and is a predicted model, not a curated record. NCBI's taxonomy places the organism in Eukaryota, Metazoa, Chordata, Aves, Galliformes, Phasianidae. The transcript is spliced from 7 exons.